UCGGAGACGGUGCUCGUGCGGGCGGUGAUGCGACACGCGUAUCCGAAAGACUCUCGGCAACGGAUAUCUCGGCUCUUGCAUCGAUGAAGAACGUAGCGAAAUGCGAUACUUGGUGUGAAUUGCAGAAUCCCGUGAACCAUCGAGUCUUUGAACGCAAGUUGCGCCCGAAGCCAUUAGGCUGAGGGCACGCCUGCCUGGGUGUCGCCCAUCGUUGCCCCAUUGCUUUGGCCUCGUGCUAGGCACCGAGCUGGGCGAAUGCUGGCUUCCCGCGAGCAACGCCUCACGGUUGGUUGAAAACUGAGUCCGUGGUGGAGGGCGCCGUGACGGAUGGUGGUUGUU
RNAcentral lists this ribosomal RNA (339 nucleotides) under Crotalaria anthyllopsis. RNAcentral describes it as "5.8S ribosomal RNA". The stretch from base 49 to 204 matches the Rfam family "5.8S ribosomal RNA". The record is from RNAcentral. Lineage: Eukaryota; Viridiplantae; Streptophyta; Magnoliopsida; Fabales; Fabaceae.